CCUGCCUGUGUGUUGCAGGGAAGCCGCCCGGGAAUGCCGGAGGAAGAAGAAGGAGUAUGUGAAAUGUCUGGAAAAUCGAGUGGCAGUCCUGGAAAACCAGAACAAAACUCUAAUUGAAGAACUAAAAACUUUGAAAGAUCUUUACUGUCAUAAAAGUGUGUAAGAAAAGAAGAUUUCACAGCUCAAAGACUCUAUAGAUUUUAUUUACAACGUGUUGGUGACAAAGUACAAAAAGGAAACAAGAAAACCUCACCAAAAUUCCUGCUGGCACAACUGGAAACUGAUAAGAGUCAAGAUUGCAGCUGCAGUGGGAGGACAGUCACGUGUGACGAGGCAGGUGAUGAGAGUUUCUUUGAGAAUUCCUACCAAUACCUCUAAUAAUGGAGGCAAAAUUUGGUUCCAGUGAAAACGUGGAUGAAAUGGAAUCCUUGCCAUAGCUGACAUUAUUAGUAACAUUUAUAACCAGUGUAUGUUUUGAUUUCUUACUCCUUUUCAAUCCUUUUUCCUUCAGUUACUUGUCUGUAAAUAUUUUUAUUUUAACCUGUAAGUUGGCAUUUACAGGUGCAGGUGAUACUUUGCUCGAGGUAUAAAUUAUGUUUUUCCUCUUUCUCAGAUGGCAGUUUAAAAAAGCUGGGAUGAUUUUUAAUCCAUGUUUGCUGUGUUUAUCAGAUUUGGGAAAAGGAUCUGCAGAAGGCAGCGGGAGGCCUGGUCCUGGAAAUGUCUGAGGCACAGGAAACUGUGCUGAUUUUCCCCAGACAAUUCAACACAUCCCUGGUUUUAAAGCACAGUGUGGUGGGACAGGGACUGAUGACAAAAGGUCCUGAAGAAUUUCCGAAAUUCAAACUUCUGGAAGUUGAAUUUCACAGGAGGUUUGUUCUUAGUCCUGGGCAAUGAGAAACAUCAGUCGUUGAAAAUUAAAUUGUGUUACAGUGAAACACUCAGUGGCUGGGGAUUCUCCUGGGCUUUGGAACAUGAAACCAAAUAGAAGAGAAAGGAUGAAGUAACAAAAAAAGGAAGAUCUAUACCAAAGGGUUACGAGGUUCUAGUUUCUGGGUUAUUGCUGGAAGUAGUGCAAAAUUACCAUUUCCAGCCUAAUUUUGUAAGGUAGGAACUAUUUUGCAAAGUGAGGGUGUCUUUGUAAGCAAAUAUUCUAUUGCAAACAGGGAGAUGGUUGGUAUAUUUUGUAGCUGAAUUGUGAUCUUUACAAAACCUGAAAUUGAGUUUCUAUACGUAUUUUGACAGUUUAUAUAUUUCAUUUUAGUAACCAAAUGAAAUAUUUUGUGAACCAGAUUUUCAAGGAUAUAUUUUUAUGGAUAGUACAAAGUCAAAUGAGAUUCCUCUUUGGUGUAGGAGAUAUUUGAAUUAAUUUUGUAUGUCUGUGGGCAACUUGGGAAAAAAAAAAUGGAUCCUAAAGAGUAUUGGGGGGGAAAAAAAAAAGAAUAAAUAAUAAAGAAAUCAGGGCUUUUUACUCCCCACAGUUGACAGUAUCUGCACAUUAGAUCUGAUUGUGUCAGAGGGUUCAGUUUGUACACUUUUGUUUCAGGUGAAAAUUAAGUGUUUGAUGUGAUCAGGACUCUUUUGGGUGGGGAAUCUCCAUUCUUGGAGAUCCCCGGAGCCGUCUGGGGAGGACGUGGACCUGGGCAGGAUGUGACCCUGGACAGGUUGUGACCCUGGGCAGGAUGUGACCCUGGACAGGACGUGACCCUGGGCAGGUUGUGACCCUGGGCAGGUUGUGACCCUGGGCAGGUUGUGACCCUGGGCAGGAUGUGACCCUGGACAGGACGUGACCCUGGGCAGGUUGUGACCCUGGGCAGGUUGUGACCCUGGGCAGGUUGUGACCCUGGGCAGGAUGUGACCCUGGACAGGAUGUGACCCUGGACAGGAUGUGACCCUGGACAGGACGUGACCCUGGGCAGGUUGUGACCCCGGGCAGGUUCUGACCCUGGACAGGUGCUGUAGAUGCCCCCCCUUAGCAGGGGGUGGGACAGGAGGACCUCCAGAGUCCCGUCCCCCCAUCCCAUUCCAGGAGGGCUCUGGGAACGAUCCCACCGUGUCUGCAGCUCUUUUGCAUGAGUAACAACCCCCCAUUUCCAGAGCUGGGAUCGAAUACCAGUCCUGCUUCCAGUUCUGCCAGUGGGAAUUGCACUGUGGGCUGUGCUGUCCCAAGGUGUUGGAGCUCCCUGUGUGUCGUGCUCGCUCGGAUCCGGGUGGAAUUCCAAGCUCUGCUCCCUCCCUGGAUGUGUGAUGCUUAUCCCAUGGUCAGUCAGGAUUUUUGAUUUUUACUCCUUUGGGAAUUAAUGGACUUGUAGCAAGCAGAGCUCUCUGCCAUGAGGAAUCUGCAUUCCACGAUCUCCUGGUUAGUGGGUCAUAAAAGGGUGGUUUUUCCUGCAGUUUUUAAAUCUCUGAUUGUUCUGGACACGAGUCCCGAGGCGUUUCCUUUAGGCCAGCCUGGAGUUGACUCCUGGUUGCCACCCUGCCAGAAAAGAGCUUUUUGGCACAUCAGAAACGAGGUCGGGAAAGUCCUGCCCUGAGGGAGCUGCUCCUGGAGAGGUGUCAGUGCCUCCUGUUUCUUUGGUGGAAUCUCAGGACAAACGAACAGCCUGGAGUGUGAACCUCAGAGAUCUGGACCUUUCCCCUCAGGUGUUGUGUGUGUGUUACCUGGAACGUGUGAGAGAGGCUUUGACCUGCAGUUCUGAACUGCUUUGGGAACUCUGUGGUAGCUGAUCCUCACUGGGUAUUCUCCUUUUCCUUUUGUAAUAUGGAAUAAUAAUAAACAAAACCUAUCCAAUGUUGAGGCUGUAGAACCGUGGUGGCCAGUUCUUUCUGUGUCCAACACCUGCCCUGCUGCCAGACACACCAGGAGUCAAGUUUUAUCCUCUUUUAAAACAGUGUGUUGGAAAGAGCAGCUGCUUUUUCAUCGUGGGAAUAUUAAACAGUAACACGAGUUUCGCUCUUUAAUCACUGACCACGAAGUUCUUAAUUUGGAUUUACUUUAAAAUCUCGAUUGUAAAGAGUAAAAUCUCACUCCUGAGGGUAAGAGGUGCAGCACCCAGUGCUGCUCUGCUGGUUGGUUCCAAACAGUCCGUGCUUUCCAUGAUUUGUAAAUAUUUGUUGAAACAAUUAAUGGUUGCAAAUUUUGACCUUGGUAAAUAAAGUCGCCAAAAUAUUAUAA
Long non-coding RNA from Lepidothrix coronata (blue-crowned manakin), 3172 nucleotides. RefSeq lists it as uncharacterized. The record is from RefSeq and is a predicted model, not a curated record. The transcript has 3 exons. NCBI's taxonomy places the organism in Eukaryota, Metazoa, Chordata, Aves, Passeriformes, Pipridae.